AAUUGAUAUACAAAAAGUAAUGUCCUGUCAAAAUAUGGAACAAGUUAACAAACUAAAGACUUGGAUUAAGAAUAUUACAAGUAAAUUUUAUUCAGAACUACUGGAAAAUAAAAUAAAUAGUUUGAACGAAAAUAACAAACUUUUACUUUACAAAAAUAUUAAAGUCAAACAAGACCAAGAAUUUUAUCUUAAAUAUCACAAUUUUGAAACUAGACGUUUAUUUACAAAAAUUAAAAUUAGUGACCAUAAUUUGCUCAUUGAGAAGGGCAGAUAUCUAAAAAUACCUCGAGACAAUAGAACAUGUCCAACUUGUAAAACC
Molecule: long non-coding RNA, 319 nt
Filed under: Mytilus galloprovincialis (Mediterranean mussel)
Lineage: Eukaryota; Metazoa; Mollusca; Bivalvia; Mytilida; Mytilidae
Source: RNAcentral